This 343-nucleotide unclassified non-coding RNA is filed under the name soil metagenome. RNAcentral's name for it is "partial contains 5.8S ribosomal RNA, internal transcribed spacer 2, and large subunit ribosomal RNA". The stretch from base 1 to 120 matches the Rfam family "5.8S ribosomal RNA", at positions 35 to 154 of the family's 154-position model. The record is from RNAcentral.
GAUGAAGAACGUAGUGAAAUGCGAUAAGUAAUGUGAAUUGCAGAAUUCAGUGAAUCAUCGAAUCUUUGAACGCACAUUGCGCCCGCCAGUAUUCUGGCGGGCAUGCCUGUUCGAGCGUCAUUUCAACCCUCAGGACCCUUUGGACCUGGUGUUGGGGCUCGGCCGCUACCCCGCGGCCGUCCCCGAAAGAUAGUGGCGGUCUCGCUGUAGCGUCCUCUGCGUAGUAAUUACACCUCGCACUGGAACGCGGCGCGGCCAAGCCGUUAAACACCCCACUUCUCAAGGUUGACCUCGGAUCAGGUAGGAAUACCCGCUGAACUUAAGCAUAUCAAUAAGCGGAGGA